UCAAUAGCUAGUAGAAUAAGUUGUAGCUGGCUAUACCAGGAACUUAAUCUGCAUUUAUUCAACUAGAUCAAGUACAAGUACAUUAGUUCGUAAUCUGCUAUUAAUACAUCUCCUAGUCAUAAAUUUCCUGAAGUAGUGCAUGUAUAUAUUAAGGUGCUGGUUAAUUAGAAAAUGGAUGUGAUUUCUAACAUGAUUGUUCUAGGCUACAAGAUAUAUCUCUAUUGGUUCAACUUGCUGUAGAAUAUGCCCCUGUUCAUUCAUUUAUGUGUAUUUCUAUUUGCCUCUAGUGACAUGUGAGAAACACUCAUGUAAAUGUUUAUAUUUUGAGUAGCGGGGUACAACUACAGUUGCAGAAUCAUCCAGCCAAAUUUUGGGAGGAUGGCAUAAAAGAUUACAUAACCCAUGCUUUUGAAGUCAUG
Molecule: ribosomal RNA, 419 nt
Filed under: Triticum aestivum (bread wheat)
Lineage: Eukaryota; Viridiplantae; Streptophyta; Magnoliopsida; Poales; Poaceae
Description: partial small subunit ribosomal RNA
Source: RNAcentral